RNAcentral lists this ribosomal RNA (253 nucleotides) under uncultured bacterium. Its description in RNAcentral is "partial 16S ribosomal RNA". It matches the Rfam family "Bacterial small subunit ribosomal RNA", at positions 524 to 776 of the family's 1533-position model. The record is from RNAcentral.
CACGAACUGCGCGAACGUUAUUCGGAAUCACUGGGCUUAAAGAGUUCGUAGGCGGCCUAGUUAGUCGGGUGUGAAAUCCCACGGCUCAACCGUGGAACUGCGCCCGAUACUGCUGGGCUAGAGGAAGUUAGAGGUGAGCGGAACCAAUGGUGGAGCGGUGAAAUGCGUUGAUAUCAUAGGGAACACCGGUGGCGAAAGCGGCUCACUGGAGCUUUUCUGACGCUGAGGAACGAAAGCUAGGGUAGCGAACGGG